Molecule: ribosomal RNA, 497 nt
Filed under: uncultured bacterium
Lineage: Bacteria
Description: partial 16S ribosomal RNA
Rfam family: Bacterial small subunit ribosomal RNA
Source: RNAcentral
GAUGAACGCUGGCGGCGUGCCUAAUACAUGCAAGUCGAGCGAACGGACGAGAAGCUUUCUUCUCUGAUUUUAGCGUCUGACGUGUGUGUAACACUUGUAUAACCUACCUAUAAUACUUGUAUAACUUCGUGAAACCUUUUCUAAUACCGUCUAAUAUUUUUAACCUCAUGGUUCAAAAGUGUAUGACUGUCUUUCUGUCUCUUAUAGCUUGAUCCGCGCUGCAUUAGAUAGUUGGUAAGUUAACGGCUUACCAAGGCAACGAUGCAUAGCCGACCUGAGAGGGGGAGAGGAAAAACGGGAACUGAGACACGGAACAGAGAACUACGGGAGGCAGCAGUAGGGAAGAGUACGCAAUGGGAGAAAGCAUGACGGAGAAAAGCCGAGUGAGUGAUGAAGGUCUACGGAUCGGAAAAAGCUGUUAUUAGGGAAGAAAAUAUGUGUAAGUAAAUGUGCACAUAGUGACGGUAACUAAACAGAAAGCAACGGCUAACUACGUG